Molecule: long non-coding RNA, 887 nt
Filed under: Phoenix dactylifera (date palm)
Lineage: Eukaryota; Viridiplantae; Streptophyta; Magnoliopsida; Arecales; Arecaceae
Description: long non-coding RNA (PDAC_LNC001542)
Source: RNAcentral
UGUUGGGGGGAAUAAAGUUUCCCCCCAAAUGACAUAAAUGCCCCUAAGAAGCCGUACAACCUCCGACCCCGGACAGCCGAAGUCAGCGUCCGACCUCGGAACGCUCGGCCACAAGACGACCGACCCCGAAACCUCCGACCUAAGAGAAACCCCGAUGUCCGAGGACCGUACUCUAACACCCCUCCGGCAUUUAUUGCGCAUGGCCGCUGUAAUCUUCCGGCACACUCAACAAUAAAUGCGGAUCUCCGGCUUACUCCAUAAUAAAUGCGGAUCUCCGGCUUACUCCACCAAUAAUGCGGACCUCCGGCUUACUCCACCAAUAAUGCGGACCUCCGGCUUACUCCAUAAUAAAUGCGGAUCUCUAACUUACUCCACAAUAAAUGCGCAUGGCUCCUGACAUCUACGGAUCCCCAGCUCUCCACGGCAAAUCGACCCAGCAGGGUCUAGUCGACUAUGAUAAGUCUCUGAUCUCGGCCAUACCGCCGACAUCAGUGCAAUGAUUCGCCUGACCGAGCGCCGACCUGAACAACAUGCCAAGCCGUACUACGGCCUCGCCCUGUUACAUCACAGGUAAACCGACCCCCGCAUAUAAAAGGGAGCCUUGGCCUCUCAAGAGGGGAUUGGAACAUUCAUACACCCAAAAAUCACUGUUUAUCUCCUUCUCCCCACUAUUUGCCCCCUCCCUGACUUGAGCGUCGGAGGGCCGGCGCCGGAGAACCCGGCCACCGGUUCGUGUGCAGGCACCCGGACGGAGGACGCCGCCAGCCAACGGAUCGCCGCCCCGCUGCGAGGACCUGCUGUUCCUUCUCUCCGACCGCCCCGGACGGAGGACGCCGCCCGCCGACAGACCGCCGCCCCGCCGUGAGGACUAACAGUCGCUCCCUCUC